CCCGACUGCUAUCUGGGUGAGGAUAAGCCAUGCGAGUUGUAUGGGAUACCUAAAUUUCCCAUGGCAAACUGCUUAGUAACACAUGAUCAACUUACCCUAUGGAGAAAAAUAACCUCGGGAAACUGAGGAUAAUGUUUCAUAGGUGAAUAGGCUUGGAAAAGUUUUUCAUCGAAAAGGAUAAGAAAAAUGGUUUUUAUCUGCCAUAGGAUAGGAUCGUGGUCGAUUAUGGUUGUUGGUGAGGUAACGGCCCACCAAGCCGAUAAUCGAUAGGGGCCGUGAGAGCGGGAGCCCCAAGAUGGGUACUGAGACAGCGACCCAGGCCUUACGAGGCGCAGCAGGCGCGGAACCUCCGCAAUACACGAAAGUGUGACGGGGUUACCCAAAGUGUUCUUUUAAGAACUGUGGUAGGUGAGUAAUAUCCCCUACUAGAAAGGAGAGGGCAAGGCUGGUGCCAGCCGCCGCGGUAAAACCAGCUCUUCAAGUGGUCGGGAUAAUUAUUGGGCUUAAAGUGUCCGUAGCCGGUUUAGUAAGUUCCUGGUAAAAUCGGGUAGCUUAACUAUCCGCAUGCUAGGAAUACUGCUAUACUAGAGGGCGGGAGAGGUCUGAGGUACUACAGGGGUAGGGGUGAAAUCUUAUAAUCCUUGUAGGACCACCAGUGGCGAAGGCGUCAGACUGGAACGCGCCUGACGGUGAGGGACGAAAGCCAGGGGAGCGAACCGGAUUAGAUACGUUGGUGCUAUUUGAAUGUAAUGUAAGAAUUACUAACACAAUGCUAAAAACCCGGGUAGUCCUGGCCGUAAACGAUGCAUACUAGGUGAUGAUACGGCCAUGAGCCGUGUCAGUGCCGUAGGGAAACCGUUAAGUGUGCCGCCUGGGAAGUACGGUCGCAAGGCUAAAACUUAAAGGAAUUGGCGGGGGAGCACCACAAGGGGUGAAGCCUGCGGUUCAAUUGGAUUCAACGCCGG
Molecule: ribosomal RNA, 965 nt
Filed under: uncultured archaeon
Lineage: Archaea
Description: bacterial SSU rRNA
Rfam family: Archaeal small subunit ribosomal RNA
Source: RNAcentral